Molecule: long non-coding RNA, 2853 nt
Organism: Dermacentor albipictus
Lineage: Eukaryota; Metazoa; Arthropoda; Arachnida; Ixodida; Ixodidae
Source: RefSeq, a predicted model, not a curated record
AGAACAGCUAGCAUUCGCAACGUCGCCAGAUCUUUCGCUGCUCGAGGCCUUUUCUAGAUGGGGUCAGCCGCGCACAUCUGUGUUCGAUUGUGCAUACUUGCCUUCAUUUCGCCAUGGCCCAUUGAGCCCACUGAGUGCAGCCCGCUACAUGAAAGUGAAAGCUAUCACGGAGCUACCAAACUACCAAUGGAUGAAAUGCUCGCACCUGUAACAGUACCAUGCAGAUGCCUCUGCGCCAUGAUCAGCGAGGCCAUGCUACCUGGAGCGAUGCAGGAGUUGUUUUAUCACUGGAUACCGUGUGAGGAAGCAUCGGCCCCUGUGUGUCCUGUCAAAGUAUGCACCCAUGCAAGCCACCACCAUCGGGCACGACGUUUCCGGAGAAGUGCACUUCAAGACAUUGGAAAAUUCAUUCAGCUGGCGCUACCUGGCGGCGACAGAUUGCUCGACAGUUUGUACACCGCAACAAACGGAGCCGUGGGCCUGCGAAAGACAAAAUCAAUUGACUAAAACUUCGACCCAGAGCGAGUGUUUCUGGAAAUGCCUUUGUUACUCACGUUUUCCGCAAAUGAUCCAUAUCCACCCCGCACUAGAACCAAUCAAAUACGGUUAAUAUGACUGAUGAUUAUAGCUUAUCAAAGACCCAGGGCUGAAUUCAAAGUUUUACGCUUUCAUUGGCGCGCCCGAUUUACCAUUGGCCGGCCAGCUUCCCUAAUAGGCGCAACAUCAAGACUACCUGGAAGGUGCUCUUAAAGGCCAAUUGCAACAAAACUUUACUUCGGCUGUGUUCAAAAUUUUACACUUUCAUUGGCAUGGCCUCUUUACGAUUGGCCGGCCAUCUUCCUUAAUAUGUUCAUCAUCAUGAAUGUUUGAAAGGUGCUUUAGGGGGCCAACUGCAACAAAACUUACCUUGGGCUACAUUGCCUCUAACUGCUUAGCUUACACUACCAAUGUAAUCUUGGCAUCGCAGCAGGCCUGGUAAUGGUCUAAUGUUCUUAUUAGCCGCCUUUAAAUAGCGCUAAGCAGACGACGCAUGUACAUGGCGGUGAGCUGUAGUGAUGGGCGUAUAGCGAAAGUUCCAGAACCGUGCACGAGUGCUGAUCUUUCAGUUGCGCCUAAGCGCAACUGGAAGCCCGUCGCUCACUCAAAGUUUGCAAGGGGAUGGGGGUCUCUCUCGGCGCGCUUCCUAUUUGCACAACUGAUUUCACCUGUUGCAAAAACGCCUACACGCUGCAUGGCCGUCAGGUGCUCGAACACGUAGUGGAAUACGAGUGAUGUUUCUGCAGCACACAGCGUUGCAAAGAGGAAAGCCGAACACGUCUUUCCUACCGCAGCUCUCCCAGCGCAAGCUUUCAUCGCGCCACAGCAAGCAUGUGCCAUGCAGUCAAGUCAACACGCACAAAGUAUGUAAACUGCGCUUCAAGCUGCCCAAUCUAUAUUUCGCGAACACGGUCACUUGCCCGUGCAAGAACUUCUUGCCAAACGCUCUCUAGGGAUUACUAUAAGUACUAUAUAAGCCGCUAUUGCGCAGGAAAAGCAAAGCUGUAUUGACCCUUUUGGCCAAGCAGUUUGCUGUAGAAAAACGAGUUGGCGCUUGCGGCAGCGCACCGCACGCUGCCUGAGCGAAAGCACACGAAUACAAUUUCAUUAUCUAUUCUAUCCUCCUUCUGAAUGAAGGGAAAAUCAGACAUCCACCCGUUCGUAGCAAUUGCUACAAAGGAAAUCCAUUCGAGUUCCUUGAAAGAAAAGCCUCAGGGUUGAAGGAAAAUUUGUCCUUGUCCGAGACUUGAAUCCGGGACCACCGCCUUUGCGGAGCAGCCGCUCUACCAUCUGAUCUAACCAGGCGGCUAGCAGAUGGCAGGGCGAAGUCGAGUUUGCCGACAACACGAAGCAAAGACAAGUGUUUGACGUAGUAGUUCUGCGGAAACCCGCAGAUCUACUACGUCACACGAUACUACUAUAAUCCAGUGUCUUGACGAUGCUGUAGCAGAUUCUUUAAAAAUAUUCACCAAAUUUUCUCACGGGCUCAAGUUUACCUCUUAACUCCCCAUUGACAACUGUAUUAAGUUUCUAGAUCUUAAAAUUUUAUAUUCCUCGGAUGACCACGUAUGCUGGACAUACAAUCCAAGAUCAAAGAGAACUGUUUUGCCUUUCGAUAGCGCACCUUGGAAAUUGAUAAAGAGGGUCAUCGCCACCACAUGCAUUCAGUUUGCUUUGAAAAUUCAUGUGUUCACCAAAUAGAGCAUGUCUAUGAAAGUAGACAGAUUGAAACUUCCGGAUUUGCAGUGACUGUAAUUUGAUCUGUCUGUGAAACAUUGCUUCAAAACUAAAAUGAGGAAGGAAGUGCCCAACUAAAGAUCACGACAAAGGACCUGUACAAUAAUUCCCAUACCUGCAUAAAGUUUCACAUAAUUUGAAAAAGGUGGCAAACCGACACAAUGUCAAUCUAGUUUUUUCAACUCCUUGCAAAUUGUCAGCAGUGUGUAACCUUCAAAGCAAGAAGCACCAGAAACGCACGUAGUCACAUGCUCAGCACUGCAAAAAGUAUGCAUGCACACCCACGUUUGGUGACACAACCUUCCUGAAGAAAGGAAACACAAACACAGAAAGAGAAAUAGUUUAGGCAUGUUUUAUAAGGAAAGCAGGCGACAAGUGCCUCAGCUGUACAUCUUUGAUGUUGCAAGAAAAAGAAAUGAUGUUUCUGUCGAGAUAUCUAGGCACUUCAACUGACUGAGCCUACAAUCGUAUGUAUGAUAUGAUUCAUUUCAAUCUUUGUGUGUAUGAUAAUGAGUGCAUGAUGUACGUGAUAAGCAGAGGAUAACUAGCUGCAUAAUGGGAAUAGCGCGAGCAAGAUUA